GGCGUCUUAUCCAAGUGGUAAGGAAGUGGUCUGCAAAACCAUUAUGCAGCAGUUCGAUUCUGCUAGACGCCUGCA
RNAcentral lists this transfer RNA (75 nucleotides) under Treponema saccharophilum DSM 2985. RNAcentral describes it as "tRNA-Cys". It matches the Rfam family "tRNA". From Rfam's summary of the family: Transfer RNA (tRNA) molecules are approximately 80 nucleotides in length. Their secondary structure includes four short double-helical elements and three loops (D, anti-codon, and T loops). Further hydrogen bonds mediate the characteristic L-shaped molecular structure. tRNAs have two regions of fundamental functional importance: the anti-codon, which is responsible for specific mRNA codon recognition, and the 3' end, to which the tRNAs corresponding amino acid is attached (by aminoacyl-tRNA synthetases). tRNAs cope with the degeneracy of the genetic code in two manners: having more than one tRNA (with a specific anti-codon) for a particular amino acid; and 'wobble' base-pairing, i.e. permitting non-standard base-pairing at the 3rd anti-codon position. Lineage: Bacteria; Pseudomonadati; Spirochaetota; Spirochaetia; Treponematales; Treponemataceae. The record is from RNAcentral.